CAGGCCUAACACAUGCAAGUCGAGCGGCAGCAUCACCUUCGGGUGGAUGGCGAGCGGCGGACGGCUGAGUAACACGUAGGAAUGUACCCCAGAGUGAGGAAUAACUGCCCGAAAGGGUAGCUAAUGCCGCAUACGCACUUCGGUGUAAAGGCUUCGGCCGCUUUGGGAACAGCCUGCGUACGAUUAGAUAGUUGGUGAGGUAACGGCUCACCAAGUCGACGAUCGUUAGCUGGGAUGAGAGGAUGACCAGCCAGACUGGAACUGAGACACGGUCCAGACGCCUACGGGAGGCAGCAGUGAGGAAGCUUCCACAAUGGGCGAAAGCCUGAUGGAGCAACGCCGCGUGCAGGAUGAAGGCCUUCGGGUUGGAAACUGCUUUGAUGAGUGAAGAAGAUGACGGGAACGCAUGAAGAAGGGUCGGCUAACGACGUGCCAGCAGACGCGG
Molecule: ribosomal RNA, 445 nt
Filed under: uncultured bacterium
Lineage: Bacteria
Description: bacterial SSU rRNA
Rfam family: Bacterial small subunit ribosomal RNA
Source: RNAcentral